Molecule: ribosomal RNA, 900 nt
Filed under: Escherichia coli
Lineage: Bacteria; Pseudomonadati; Pseudomonadota; Gammaproteobacteria; Enterobacterales; Enterobacteriaceae
Description: partial 23S ribosomal RNA
Rfam family: Bacterial large subunit ribosomal RNA
Source: RNAcentral
GAAGCGUCUGGAAAGGCGCGCGAUACAGGGUGACAGCCCCGUACACAAAAAUGCACAUACUGUGAGCUCGAUGAGUAGGGCGGGACACGUGGUAUCCUGUCUGAAUAUGGGGGGACCAUCCUCCAAGGCUAAAUACUCCUGACUGACCGAUAGUGAACCAGUACCGUGAGGGAAAGGCGAAAAGAACCCCGGCGAGGGGAGUGAAAAAGAACCUGAAACCGUGUACGUACAAGCAGUGGGAGCCUCUUUUAUGGGGUGACUGCGUACCUUUUGUAUAAUGGGUCAGCGACUUAUAUUCUGUAGCAAGGUUAACCGAAUAGGGGAGCCGAAGGGAAACCGAGUCUUAACCGGGCGUUAAGUUGCAGGGUAUAGACCCGAAACCCGGUGAUCUAGCCAUGGGCAGGUUGAAGGUUGGGUAACACUAACUGGAGGACCGAACCGACUAAUGUUGAAAAAUUAGCGGAUGACUUGUGGCUGGGGGUGAAAGGCCAAUCAAACCGGGAGAUAGCUGGUUCUCCCCGAAAGCUAUUUAGGUAGCGCCUCGUGAAUUCAUCUCCGGGGGUAGAGCACUGUUUCGGCAAGGGGGUCAUCCCGACUUACCAACCCGAUGCAAACUGCGAAUACCGGAGAAUGUUAUCACGGGAGACACACGGCGGGUGCUAACGUCCGUCGUGAAGAGGGAAACAACCCAGACCGCCAGCUAAGGUCCCAAAGUCAUGGUUAAGUGGGAAACGAUGUGGGAAGGCCCAGACAGCCAGGAUGUUGGCUUAGAAGCAGCCAUCAUUUAAAGAAAGCGUAAUAGCUCACUGGUCGAGUCGGCCUGCGCGGAAGAUGUAACGGGGCUAAACCAUGCACCGAAGCUGCGGCAGCGACACUGUGUGUUGUUGGGUAGGGGAGCGU